RNAcentral lists this small RNA (716 nucleotides) under Pongo abelii (Sumatran orangutan). RNAcentral's name for it is "processed transcript". The record is from RNAcentral. Lineage: Eukaryota; Metazoa; Chordata; Mammalia; Primates; Hominidae.
UAGCGCGCAGGGAAGCCUGGUCACCCCACCGUAAUCUUGUUAUGCAAAUAGGCUUUCCACUUGGCCGUCGCCGUCUUGUCCACUCGUUUCUGUGCACAUGGCUGGCAAAAAGAGAAGAUGGAGCUGCCAUUUAGAACAUGCCUAAUCCCAGCUUCAUCUUGCUGAGCAAAAAUGAAGGAGCCUGGACCCAACUUUGUUACUGUGAGUAAGGGUCUUCAUUCAUUCAAGAUGGCAUUUGUUAAGCGCCUACUGUGAGUAGAUGAUCUCCUGUCAAAGACAGUUAACAAAUCCUCGGAAUAUUGCUUCAUGUACAGUUAUUGGAGAUGAGUAACUCACAUUCUCUUAAUUGUAAUGGUUCCUUGGAAAGUCAUCGUGGGAAAUGAAGGCUGGCUCAUACAUUUUCCCAGACAGGAAUUUGGCUGCCAACAGGGAAUUCUAAACAACUAAAAACUCCAGAUGAUGAAUGCACAACAUAAUGAUGGUUAAAUUAAAAAAAAAAAAGAGCAUGACAAACCUUGGAAAUCAAGAAAGUUCUGGAAUGAUGAAGCUGUUCAUGCCAAGACCGAAAGUGCUGGCCCAGUAUGAGUCCAUUCAGUUCAUGCUGUGACAAUUUUCUUGGAACUCCUUUUUAUUGUUAGUUCUCAUUUGUUUCCAUAUUUAGUGAACGUACAUUUAAUUGCAAAGCUGUCAUUAAUAAAAAUUCUUAUAGUAUCUCA